AUCGUUUCUUGGCCUUUUGGCUAAGAUCAAGUGUAGUAUCUGUUCUUAUCAGUUUAAUAUCUGAUAUGCCCUCUAUUUGAGGACUCUAUAUUAAAUGGAUUUGGGGAAUUAAAAAAAAAGAUUAAAAUUUAAAAAAGAAACAUCGCUUUCCUUUCCUGAUUCUAUUUCUAUACUCAG
RNAcentral lists this small nuclear RNA (177 nucleotides) under Salvator merianae (Argentine black and white tegu). Its description in RNAcentral is "U2 spliceosomal RNA (ENSSMRG00000017363.1)". The stretch from base 1 to 113 matches the Rfam family "U2 spliceosomal RNA". From Rfam's summary of the family: U2 is a small nuclear RNA (snRNA) component of the spliceosome (involved in pre-mRNA splicing). Complementary binding between U2 snRNA (in an area lying towards the 5' end but 3' to hairpin I) and the branchpoint sequence (BPS) of the intron results the bulging out of an unpaired adenosine, on the BPS, which initiates a nucleophilic attack at the intronic 5' splice site, thus starting the first of two transesterification reactions that mediate splicing. Lineage: Eukaryota; Metazoa; Chordata; Lepidosauria; Squamata; Teiidae. The record is from RNAcentral.